Molecule: ribosomal RNA, 253 nt
Filed under: uncultured bacterium
Lineage: Bacteria
Description: partial 16S ribosomal RNA
Rfam family: Bacterial small subunit ribosomal RNA
Source: RNAcentral
UACGAAGGGUGCAAGCGUUAAUCGGAAUUACUGGGCAUAAAGCGCGCGUAGGUGGUUCAGCAAGUUGGAUGUGAAAGCCCUGGGCUCAACCUGGGAACUGCAUCCAAAACUACUGAGCUAGAGUACGGUAGAGGGUAGUGGAAUUUCCUGUGUAGCGGUGAAAUGCGUAGAUAUAGGAAGGAACACCAGUGGCGAAGGCGACUACCUGGACUGAUACUGACACUGAGGUGCGAAAGCGUGGGGAGCAAACAGG